GGGGGGGUGUUGGGGUGGGGGUGUUGUUAAUCCUACUGGGAUGGCUGAAGAUUGAUUAGCAUUUGAUUAACAUCCCCCUUUAGUAGAGAAUUGGAAAUAUUGACAAAUGGUAAAACAAUUGGGGUUGCUUGAGAUGAUAGUGAAAAGGAAAUAAUAGUUAUAGUUGUAAAUCACUCAUUAGAAGCUUCUUUGGGUUUUCAAAUUUUGUUUAAUCUAAUUUCAAUUAUCUUCCAUUUUUCAUACAACCUGGUUUCAUGAAGGCAUGAAUCAUAUUCUCGGGGUG
Molecule: unclassified non-coding RNA, 283 nt
Filed under: Hevea brasiliensis (rubber tree)
Lineage: Eukaryota; Viridiplantae; Streptophyta; Magnoliopsida; Malpighiales; Euphorbiaceae
Source: RNAcentral